Molecule: long non-coding RNA, 3591 nt
Organism: Glycine soja
Lineage: Eukaryota; Viridiplantae; Streptophyta; Magnoliopsida; Fabales; Fabaceae
Exons: 2
Source: RefSeq, a predicted model, not a curated record
UCUCAAUUUUCAAUUCUUUAAGUGCUUUUACCAGCAGCGUAUUUAGAUAACUAUUUAGUACUAUAAAUUAUUAAGGUAAAGGUAAAACAUUCAAAAGGUACGAGAAUGAGGCUUAGAGAAAAGAUAAAACAAGGGGAUUUUUUUGUUAAGAAAUUGAAAUAAUUAAUUUAAUUUAUUAUAAUUAUGAUUGAAAAGGGAUAAAAGAUAGCAUAUUAAUUUAAUGAAAUGGAAAUACCGUCCAAUUUCGAAAUAUAGACUAAAGUCUGCCAACUGAGGUUUGAGCUAAUCUUAGAAUAAAUUAUAAGUACUAAGUUUUGGAAUAUAAAAUAGGUAAAUUAUUAUGUGUUCAUGUGGUGUAUGUUAUACUAUAUCAUUAUUGUUUUCUUGGUACAUGGGAAUGAAAAAAGAUAUCAUUGUUGUUUUGAUGUUACUAUUAUUAUUUAAACAUUUAAUUUUCAUCAAUUCCUCUUUAUUUAUAGUGCCCUAACACUUUAAAUGUCAUCAAAGCAACUGUCAAUUAUAUUACAAAUAUCCCCACUCUUAAAGUUUCAUAUGUUUUUUUUUAUUUUGUAAAUAUUUAUUAGUUCCUAAAAGUAUUAGUUAAAAAGAUAAGUGCAGUUUUUAAUUGAAAAACGAAAUAUAAUUAUUAUAUUAGGGAUACAAUAACAUGUCGUCCCUUUGUUCUAUUAUACAGCAAUUUUUUGUCGAGAAAGUUGCAUCUGAAUUUUAACCCAAAAGUUGCAUUCCGUGUCCGUUUUGUAUCGUUGUUUCGGCGAUGAUUGAUGACUUUCGUAUUUAUCAUCAAUUACAAUAAUCAUAAUAAAUGUAUAAAAAGCAAAAAACAUUUUUGCAAUGUGAACGGUCCCGUAUGACCUCAUAUUCUCAGACAUGGGUCCCUAUGGGCUAUCGUUUUAUAAAGGGGCGGCUAACAACCAAGCCACCUUGAUCAGUGCCUAAAACAAUUUAUAAGCAAAAUAAAUAAAUAAAUGUUAAAUGCUCCAAGAUUCCAAUUUGGCAAUUUUAAAUGGUCGACUUAUACUUUUAAGUAACAGUUGCCGCCAUCACCAAGCAAAUCGUGCCAUAAAAAAAAGAUGAGAGUGGGAUCAAUUUGCAGAGUAAAUAAUGACGUAAAGAAAGACUUCCAUUAUCCUCGUUCAAUCCUUCAUCAUUAUGGUUAUUGUCUCCCACUCCAAUUCUCUGACAUGUCAUCAUAAGUAUAUUUGAUGGGCAGGUUAAAUUAAAAAAAUAAUUUUUAAUUUAUCUCCGAGACUUUUUUCCGUGUCCGAUUUAAAUUAAAAAAAUAAUUUUUUUAAAAAAAAUAUUAAAAAAUUGAUUUUAGAAUAAAUAAAUUAAUUGUUAAAUAUUUAUUUUUAAAUAUGUUAAUAAAUUUAUUAUAGCACAUGUGUCUACAAAAAUCAUUAAGAAAAUAAUAUUAAAUUAUAUAAAAAUUCUAAAAUAAAAUUAACAAAUAAUAAAAAUUCUAGAUUUUUUAUUAAAUUAUUCAAAAAUUUUAGUGGCAGGACAUGUCCGGAUUGAGGGUCGGAAAGCAUGUAGUAAUUUCGUAUAUGUACUCGAUUUUUUGAUUAUUGGAAAAAUUUAAACUCAAAUCCGAAUCAACUUAAGGAUUAUCCGUUAAAGUCGGAACGUGUUAAAAUGCGUAUUCAUGGAUACAAAUUUUGUUGCCAUGUCUAAGAUGGCGUUUGUUAAUGGACAAAUAUCUAUGACGCAACAAUUUGUCUUCACUCUCCACCAGCAUUAGUUGACCGGUAAAUGAAACCCUCAUAAAUCAUUUUUAAAUACUCAUGUAUCAUUUUAUUUGUUAUUUUCUUUGGAAAAAUACUAUAUGGGAUGAUUCUGUAAAACUCUAUUACACUUUUUUUUUCACAACGAGUUUUAUGAUUAAUUAUUUGAUUUUUAUAAUAAUCAUUUUAAAAAUUAUAUUUAUUAUGCUUUUUAAUUAGUUGACAGUUUAGACCGAGAGUGCAUUCAAAUUAAGCUCAUCUUCUUUCUCUUUAACGGGAUGUUAAAGAAAGAGAUGAUUUUUUAUACUAGGAUUUAGAAAUAAAUAUAUAAAACUGCAAAAUAAAAUAAGAUUUAGAUAACACAUAAAAAAUAUUCACGUGAAAAAUAUUAUAUCUGAAACAUGUCUUUGUGACUUGGGUGGGUUAGAUCCAACUUUUAUUACCAUAGUUGUUUUAGAUCACAUAAUUAUCACAGCAGAAUAGGAUAUCCCCUUCACAUCAAAUCUCUAUUAUUAUGCCGAAGUCGGGAGCAAGAAAACAAGACUCGAGCCUUGGCGUAGUGGGCACUCUUGACUCACCUUGUCAAAUUGAACAAAAAGAGUUGGCUUAAUUUUGAAAAUGACCUUUUCACGUGUGCAGAGAAAAGAGUUUCAUUUUCACAAUUCACGCCAAAGGACCGUAACUUUAAGUCGUACCAUACCAUGUAUUUUUAAUGCCCAUUGCUCCGGUGGUCCACUACUAUUAUUUCAGCCCUCAGAUCAAUCAAGGUGCAAAUUUUUAUUAUACACCCUCCCAUAUUAUAACUUUUCCCAUCUUAUCUUCUCAGUAAUCCUCUCCCUCUUCUACCACCUCCAUGAUGCCUCCGCCGCUCUUUGCCGUGCGUGGAAAUUACCGGCGGCGGAGACGUUUUUUUCCUCUUUUAAUUUCUUGUCAUCUCCUUCAGAUUCAUCACUUCCGCUUCACAACAUUGACCAUGAGCUCUUCCUGUAACUGCGGGCUCUUAGCCUUCAACCACUCUGAAAUCGCGCCGUUGACGAUGACAUUAGCGACGUCAUCGACACCAUCAUCUUGACCGUUCGCAACGAGAUCCUAGUGAUUGCCGAUCUUGGCCUCCUGCGACUCCGAAUCGGCACCUCCAGCGACACGGCUACGGCAAGUGAGUUAUCAGCAACAACACCGGGGUGUAAAAAAUCAAAAACUUUUUCUACAAUUUUGUUCUUGCGUUCAUAAAAGUGAAACCUUAUUUUUUUGGACGCAAGUUUUUUCCGAUGGAUCUGCAUUUUUUUCAACAAGGUUCUGUACAAUGAAGGGAGAAUAAUGUCCUCCGCCGUCUCCUGCCUCAGUUUUGUUCGUUGCCGCAGCGAGGGAGACACAUGUGAAUUUGAAUCCCUAAUUUACGGUUCAAAUGUUUGAUACGCUCCGUUUCUGCUUGAUGCCAUACCAUGCUUUUCAAAUUCCUGAUUUGCAUUGAUGUGGCGAGAUAAGAAAGAGGAAGGAAAAAUACGAUGCACCGUAAUGGGAGAUAGAAAGUGAAGGUGCGAGCGGUGGCUUGGAGGUUCCAUCGGAGGUUGCGGGAGAGGGAGAGUACGGAUGAGAAGCAGGAGAAAAAAGUGGUGGCGGCACCCGGCACAUAGCGGCGGAGGCACCAUGGAGGUUGCAGGAAGAGAGGGAGAGGAUUACAGAGAAGAUGAAGAAGGGGAAAGUUAUAAUAUGGGAGAGUGUAUAAUAAAACUUUGCACCUUAAUUGAUCUGACAGCUGAAAAUAAACGGUGUAUAGUGGAUCACCUAUGGAGUGGUCCAUCGGAGCAAUGGCCAUUUUUAAUUAGAUGAUUACCACUUUAUGGGUCAA